This 24-nucleotide ribosomal RNA is filed under the name Neoboletus sp. 'vividivelutinus'. RNAcentral describes it as "partial 28S ribosomal RNA". Lineage: Eukaryota; Fungi; Basidiomycota; Agaricomycetes; Boletales; Boletaceae. The record is from RNAcentral.
UGACCUCAAUCAGGUAGGACUACC